GCCGGGUGUGGUGGUGGGCACCUGUAAUCCCAGCUACUGGGGAGGCUGAGGCAGAGGAAUCGCUUGAAUCCGGGGGUGGAGGUUGCAGUGAGCCGAGAUCGCGCCACUGCACUCCAGCCUGGGCAACAAAGUGAGACUCUGUCUCAA
RNAcentral lists this small RNA (147 nucleotides) under Pongo abelii (Sumatran orangutan). RNAcentral's name for it is "Metazoan signal recognition particle RNA (ENSPPYG00000033859.1)". Lineage: Eukaryota; Metazoa; Chordata; Mammalia; Primates; Hominidae. The record is from Rfam by way of RNAcentral.